AAUAGAUACCCCGGUAGUCCACGCCGUAAACGAUGGAUACUAGCUGUUGGGGGCGACCUCAGUGGCUAAGCGAAAGUGAUAAGUAUCCCACCUGGGGAGUACGUUCGCAAGAAUGAAACUCAAAGGAAUUGACGGGGGCCCGCACAAGCGGUGGAGCAUGUGGUUUAAUUCGAUGAUACGCGAGGAACCUUACCAAGGCUUAAAUGCAGACUGACCGUUUUGGAAACAGAACUUUCGCAAGACAGUCUACAAGGUGCUGCAUGGUUGUCGUCAGCUCGUGCCGUGAGGUGUCAGGUUAAGUCCUAUAACGAGCGCAACCCCUGUUGUUAGUUGCCAGCGAGUAGUGUCGGGAACUCUAACAAGACUGCCAGUGCAAACUGUGAGGAAGGUGGGGAUGACGUCAAAUCAUCACGGCCCUUACGCCUUGGGCUACACACGUGCUACAAUGGCCGGUACAGAGAGCAGCCACCUCGCGAGGGGGAGCGAAUCUACAAAGCCGGUCACAGUUCGGAUCGGAGUCUGCAACUCGACUCCG
RNAcentral lists this ribosomal RNA (535 nucleotides) under uncultured bacterium. RNAcentral describes it as "bacterial SSU rRNA". It matches the Rfam family "Bacterial small subunit ribosomal RNA", at positions 777 to 1320 of the family's 1533-position model. The record is from RNAcentral.